GGUGGCUCAGUGGUAGAGUGCUUGCCUCACAUGCAUGAGGCCCUAAGUUCAGUUCUUUAGCACCA
Molecule: transfer RNA, 65 nt
Filed under: Dipodomys ordii (Ord's kangaroo rat)
Lineage: Eukaryota; Metazoa; Chordata; Mammalia; Rodentia; Heteromyidae
Rfam family: tRNA
About the family: Transfer RNA (tRNA) molecules are approximately 80 nucleotides in length.
Source: Rfam by way of RNAcentral